GACAGAGGGUGCAAACGUUGUUCGGAAUACUGGGCGUAAAGCGUGUGUAGGCGGUCUCAUAAGUCGGGUGUGAAAGCCCCGGGCUCAACCCGGGAAGUGCACUCGAAACUGCGAGGCUAGAGUACUGGAGAGGUUGGUGGAAUUCUCGGUGUAGAGGUGAAAUUCGUAGAUAUCGAGAGGAACACCGGUGGCGAAGGCGGCCAACUGGACAGAUACUGACGCUGAGACACGAAAGCGUGGGGAGCAAACAGG
Molecule: ribosomal RNA, 252 nt
Filed under: uncultured bacterium
Lineage: Bacteria
Description: partial 16S ribosomal RNA
Rfam family: Bacterial small subunit ribosomal RNA
Source: RNAcentral